RNAcentral lists this ribosomal RNA (253 nucleotides) under uncultured bacterium. Its description in RNAcentral is "partial 16S ribosomal RNA". It matches the Rfam family "Bacterial small subunit ribosomal RNA", at positions 524 to 776 of the family's 1533-position model. The record is from RNAcentral.
GACAGAGGGUGCAAACGUUGUUCGGAAUUACUGGGCGUAAAGCGCGUGUAGGCGGCUCGGUAAGUCGGAUGUGAAAGCCCUGGGCUUAACCUAGGAAGUGCAUUCGAAACUCCCGAGCUUGAGUUCUGGAGAGGAAGGCGGAAUUCUCGGUGUAGAGGUGAAAUUCGUAGAUAUCGAGAGGAACACCGGUGGCGAAGGCGGCCUUCUGGACAGUGACUGACGCUGAGGAGCGAAAGCGUGGGGAGCAAACAGG